RNAcentral lists this ribosomal RNA (468 nucleotides) under uncultured bacterium. RNAcentral's name for it is "partial 16S ribosomal RNA". It matches the Rfam family "Bacterial small subunit ribosomal RNA", at positions 28 to 507 of the family's 1533-position model. The record is from RNAcentral.
GACGAACGCUGGCGGCGUGCUUAACACAUGCAAGUCGAACGGAAAGGCCCUGCUUUUGUGGGGUGCUCGAGUGGCGAACGGGUGAGUAACACGUGAGUAAUCUGCCCUUGACUUUGGGAUAACUUUAGGAAACUGGGGCUAAUACCGGAUAGGAGCUCCUGCUGCAUGGUGUGGGUUGGAGAGUUUCGGCGGUUGGGGAUGGACUCGCGGCUUAUCAGCUUGUUGGUGGGGUAGUGGCUUACCAAGGCGUUGACGGGUAGCCGGCCUGAGAGGGUGACCGGCCACAUUGGGACUGAGAUACGGCCCAGACUCCUACGGGAGGCAGCAGUGGGGAAUAUUGCACAAUGGGCGGAAGCCUGAUGCAGCAACGCCGCGUGCGGGAUGACGGCCUUCGGGUUGUAAACCGCUUUCGCCUGUGACGAAGCGUGAGUGACGGUAAUGGGUAAAGAAGCACCGGCUAACUACGUG